AGACGUAGGGGGCGAGCGUUAUCCGGAUUCACUGGGCGUAAAGGGCGCGUAGGCGGCUUGGUAAGUCAGAUGUGAAAGCCCGGGGCUUAACCCCGGAAGUGCAUUUGAAACUAUCAGGCUUGAGUAUGGGAGAGGGAAGUGGAAUUCCUGGUGUAGAGGUGAAAUUCGUAGAUAUCAGGAGGAACACCGGUGGCGAAGGCGACUUCCUGGACCAAUACUGACGCUGAGGCGCGAAGGCGUGGGGAGCAAACAGGAUUAGAAACCCUAGUAGUCC
This 274-nucleotide ribosomal RNA is filed under the name uncultured bacterium. RNAcentral's name for it is "partial 16S ribosomal RNA". It matches the Rfam family "Bacterial small subunit ribosomal RNA", at positions 523 to 796 of the family's 1533-position model. The record is from RNAcentral.